GAGUUUGAUCCUGGCAGGAUGAACUCUGGCGCGACUAAUAAGCAUCGAGCGAUAAGAGCUUGCUCCUUUUCGUUAUCGGGGACGGGUGAGUAUGCCGUGUAACUACAUAGCCUGGAAUAACCGGACCGGUAAUACGAUAAUAUUAACCGCAUGGUUCUAAAGUAAAAUGGCCGGCAUCACUAUGAUGGUGCGCCGCGUUUAGCUAGUGGUAAGGUAACGGCUUACAAGCAACAUGCGUAGCGACCUGAGAGGGUGAUCGGCCCGCUGGAACUGAUGGCUCGGUCCAGCUCCUCGGGAGGCACAGUAGGGAAUCUCCGCAAUGGGAAAGCCUGGCGCACCACCGCGUGAGUGAUGAAGGUCUUCGGAUCUAAAGUCUGUUAUUAGGGAAGAACACAAUGCGUAAGUACUGUGCGCGUCUUUCGGUACCUAUCAGAGACCGGAAGGGGGUAAAAAAU
RNAcentral lists this ribosomal RNA (455 nucleotides) under uncultured Staphylococcus sp. RNAcentral's name for it is "bacterial SSU rRNA". It matches the Rfam family "Bacterial small subunit ribosomal RNA", at positions 9 to 506 of the family's 1533-position model. Lineage: Bacteria; Bacillati; Bacillota; Bacilli; Caryophanales; Staphylococcaceae. The record is from RNAcentral.